This 72-nucleotide transfer RNA is filed under the name Pseudomonadota bacterium. RNAcentral's name for it is "tRNA-Thr". It matches the Rfam family "tRNA". From Rfam's summary of the family: Transfer RNA (tRNA) molecules are approximately 80 nucleotides in length. Lineage: Bacteria; Pseudomonadati; Pseudomonadota. RNAcentral also lists the same sequence under 4 other names. The record is from RNAcentral.
GCCGGAGUAGCUCAGGGGUAGAGCGGGGCUUUCGUAAAGCCAAGGUCGGGAGUUCGAAUCUCCCCUCCGGCU